UUCAACUUGAGAGUUUGAUCCUGGCUCAGAAUCAACGCUGGCGGCGUGCCUCAUCCAUGCAAGUCGAACGCGAACGCGUCCUUCGGGACGCAAGUAGAGUGGCAGACGGGUGAGUAACGCGUGGGUGACCUACCUUCGAGUGGGGGAUAACCUUCCGAAAGGAGGGCUAAUA
Molecule: ribosomal RNA, 172 nt
Filed under: Acidobacteriota bacterium
Lineage: Bacteria; Pseudomonadati; Acidobacteriota
Description: Acidobacteria bacterium partial 16S ribosomal RNA
Rfam family: Bacterial small subunit ribosomal RNA
Source: RNAcentral